Condylura cristata (star-nosed mole) is the source of this 548-nucleotide long non-coding RNA. RefSeq lists it as uncharacterized. The transcript has 3 exons. NCBI's taxonomy places the organism in Eukaryota, Metazoa, Chordata, Mammalia, Eulipotyphla, Talpidae. The record is from RefSeq and is a predicted model, not a curated record.
ACGGGGCGGGGCGGGCGCCUCUCCGGCGCUCUGCACCCGCACGGCCUCGCCCCUCCCAGUGUUAAUCUUCUUGCUGCUUAAACGCGCAAGAGUGCUCUCCUUUCCCCGGACCUGGGCCCUCUCCCCGAUACCCCUGAGGGCCGUCGAGGGCCAGGGAGGGGACCCGAGGAGUCGCGCCCUUGGAGUGCGCAGCGGUGCCCGAAGAGAGAGGGGCGGGGCAUCCAGGAGCGAGGGAAAGCCUGGGAAAAGCGCGGUCGGUCGGCGCGGCGGCGGCACUGGCGGCGUCCCCUGCUGCCGGGAAGCAGACAAUAAAAGGAAGAAAUGGCCCUGCCUGGUGGCACAGCGGGUUAGGACGCAGCACUGCAAGCUGGCCGCACCCACCUCUGUGCGAGUUCGAUUCUGGGCCAAGGAGGUGACCCACAUGGCUAGCAGGCUCCUCCUGUCUCACCAGCUGCACCCCUCAAUAGUGCACUUCGUUGACUUACCUGUCCUGCUCCCCACUCUCUCUGCAGGUGAAAGCACAGCACAAAGAAGCUGAAGUCUGUUCC